CAAAUCUCCCUCAUUGCUCAGAAAUCAGGUUAAGGGGAGUACACUUUUAUUCCUCACAUAGGGAGAUCUCCCUUCAAGUUCUAGUGGGACACUUCACAAAAU
Rhagoletis zephyria (snowberry fruit fly) is the source of this 102-nucleotide long non-coding RNA. RefSeq lists it as uncharacterized. NCBI's taxonomy places the organism in Eukaryota, Metazoa, Arthropoda, Insecta, Diptera, Tephritidae. The record is from RefSeq and is a predicted model, not a curated record.